UCCUGUGUUGCUUGCCUAACGUGACGGAAGUUCAUCCACGAUGAUUCCCAAUUUUUGCCUCUCGCCACUUCGUGGUGUUAGGUCGACAUGGAAGUACUGCCCAUUGUCCUUGAAUGCCUCGCCCUUUUGCGUCGCAAUCAUGGUCCAUGGGCUUGUGCUAGUUCCCACGGAUGCAGAACCUUUGGAGGAUGCACAGCAUGUUGCUGUUGUUUACCCACAAAGCGUUCAUGGCUCGGUGCGUACGACGGCUGUGCCCGCCAAGGUCUCGUCUUUAACUAGUUUGGACGGGGCUCAUGCGGUGCCGGCGUCGCAGAGGAAUGCUACCUGGUUGAUCCUGCCAGUAGUCAUAUGCUUGUCUCAA
Molecule: unclassified non-coding RNA, 361 nt
Filed under: Pouteria fulva
Lineage: Eukaryota; Viridiplantae; Streptophyta; Magnoliopsida; Ericales; Sapotaceae
Description: partial contains external transcribed spacer and 18S ribosomal RNA
Source: RNAcentral